This 354-nucleotide unclassified non-coding RNA is filed under the name soil metagenome. Its description in RNAcentral is "partial contains 5.8S ribosomal RNA, internal transcribed spacer 2, and large subunit ribosomal RNA". The stretch from base 1 to 120 matches the Rfam family "5.8S ribosomal RNA", at positions 35 to 154 of the family's 154-position model. The record is from RNAcentral.
GAUGAAGAACGUAGCGAAAUGCGAUAAGUAAUGUGAAUUGCAGAAUUCAGUGAAUCAUCGAAUCUUUGAACGCACAUUGCGCCCGCCAGAAUACUGGCGGGCAUGCCUGUCCGAGCGUCAUUUCAACCCUCGAACCCCUCCGGGGGGUCGGCGUUGGGGAUCGGCCCUCCCUUAGCGGGUGGCCGUCUCCGAAAUACAGUGGCGGUCUCGCCGCAGCCUCUCCUGCGCAGUAGUUUGCACACUCGCAUCGGGAGCGCGGCGCGUCCACAGCCGUUAAACACCCAACUUCUGAAAUGUUGACCUCGGAUCAGGUAGGAAUACCCGCUGAACUUAAGCAUAUUAAUAAGCGGAGGA